Molecule: long non-coding RNA, 638 nt
Organism: Rhododendron vialii
Lineage: Eukaryota; Viridiplantae; Streptophyta; Magnoliopsida; Ericales; Ericaceae
Exons: 3
Source: RefSeq, a predicted model, not a curated record
CUUCUUCUCGAGUUCUCUGUUCGACAUCUCAGGACCCAGACGACUUUUUCUCGUAUCUCGACUUCUCAAGAUUCAUGGCUCUUUCCGCACCGUUUGUUAAGGUUUUGGGUAAGGAAAAAGAUGAUCAUUUCAACACCAAUGGUAGAGUGUAUGCAAUCGUUAUUGGCAAUAGAAACGCAAAUGAUGUAGCCGUCUUAGAAAGUAGCUGAACAGGCCAUCUCUUAGGUUGUUGGUCACUUGAACUAUAACUCCUCCAGUCCUCCUCCUAAGCACGACUGGCAAAAAAAGCAAAGGUUCGUGCCAUCUUCUUGCUCGCUUCUGAGGAGCUAUCCCUCCAUAACAUCCAAGAUUUCUUUGAUGCUGCGGAUUACUCCCUCUCUCUAUUAAGAAAAGGCGAAAUCCCCAAAUACAUCCAAUGAGUUGAGUUCCUCAUCGUCUUCAUAGUUUCUCUUUGUGCAACUGUGUGCAUGAUCAUGGUGAUGCUUUGUAAAUUAGUUUGUGGUUUACAAGUGCAGGUAUGGAUAAUAUAGACAUAUAACUUUGACAAAAUUCUGAUCAGUUAAUGUAUAUCUGCAUCAUUGUGUAAAAUUAGUUGAGGUUCCUAUUUUUUAGAGCUAUGUAAAACAAUGAAUCUUAAA